RNAcentral lists this long non-coding RNA (820 nucleotides) under Helianthus annuus (common sunflower). Its description in RNAcentral is "hypothetical non coding rna". Lineage: Eukaryota; Viridiplantae; Streptophyta; Magnoliopsida; Asterales; Asteraceae. The record is from RNAcentral.
UUUUGAAGUUAAUCAUUAUUCUAAAUUUAAAUUUUGAAAUAAACCAUUAUUGUAUUUGAUUUUAAAUUUUCAAUUUCGAAGUCAAUUAUUAUGUUAAAUUUAAAUUUGAAAGUUUGCCAUUAAUGUGUUUGAUUUUAAAUUUCGAAUAUACUUUCCUAAUAAGUUUGCUUGAUUUACGGGAUUGGAUAUUAGUGAUUUGAUUUUCAGAUUUUAAAUUUUAAAUUUUGAAGUCAAUCAUUAUUUUAAAUUUAAAUUUUGAAGUAAUGGCAAUCUGAGUCUGAUUUUUUUCGUGAUUAAUAUCCGCUUGAGUAACCCAAUCUGAGUCUGAUUUUUUUCGUUAACGAUUCUGGUAAACUUUCCCGAUUUGGGUUUUCUGCAAGGCUAAUCAUCUAAAUUAAUUUGUUAUUUUUAUGGUUUACCAUUGCAUAACUUAGUAUAAUUUGUUGACAAAGUUUUGUUUUGUGGGAUAGUAGUCAUAAAUUGAGUAAUAUUUAAGGUUUAUGUGUUUUUAUUUUGAUUCAUUAAAUAAGAUGUGUUUGAGUAAUAUUCAAGGUUUAUGUAUAUAUGAGAUUUUGUUGAUUGGCAUAAGGUGUUAGAUAAGAUGUGUUUGAAGUUGUGAAGAUGAAUAAGUGAGACAUGUGUAGCAGAUAUUAGUGAGUGCACAACACAUUAGUUAGGGUUUUGAAUUAUUGCUACAGGUUAGUGAUGUUAGAGAUUGUGUUUUGAGAAAUGUGUAGAUUGAAUUAUGUUUGUGUUUGAUUGUGACACCUUUGAUUGUGCAUGAAAUUGCUGGUUAUAUGAGAUUUUGUUGAUUGUAGAC